Molecule: ribosomal RNA, 246 nt
Filed under: uncultured bacterium
Lineage: Bacteria
Description: partial 16S ribosomal RNA
Rfam family: Bacterial small subunit ribosomal RNA
Source: RNAcentral
GAUCCUGGCUCAGGAUGAACGCUGGCGGCGUGCCUAAUACAUGCAAGUCGAACGCGGGCAGCAAUGCCCGAGUGGCGAACGGGUGAGUAAUACAUAAGUAACCUGCCCUUUACAGGGGGAUAACUAUUGGAAACGAUAGCUAAGACCGCAUAGGUAAAGAUACCGCAUGGUAAGUUUAUUAAAAGUGCCAAGGCACUGGUAGAGGAUGGACUUAUGGCGCAUUAGCUAGUUGGUGAGGUAACGGCU